Molecule: long non-coding RNA, 545 nt
Organism: Micropterus dolomieu (smallmouth bass)
Lineage: Eukaryota; Metazoa; Chordata; Actinopteri; Centrarchiformes; Centrarchidae
Exons: 3
Source: RefSeq, a predicted model, not a curated record
CCCAGACUGAUGAACGUGCAUUGCCAAGAUACCAACACUAAUCUGCUGGCUGAGGGCACGUUAGCCUCCAUAAGACCUUUUCCUCUUUGGCUAAUUCUCAGCCAUCUCUCCUUCCGGACAAUGCCUACAGUCCAGCCAUGAAUCCAGCAUGUUCGAAUGCACUGGUGUGAAGAACUUUCUCUCUCCCACUGUUCCUGUGCACGAGCGUAGACGCCACCGGUUGCUGAUUGGCUGGAAAAAUACUGUGGGGAAGGAAUCCUGUUUCAGAGGCUGCCGUUAUGAUGAUUACACUCAUCUUAUCCACUGCACCGCCGGCCAGGACACACAGUUUAUACCCACAUAUAUAGUAGCUGCUUAAUUUCUCUUGCAGGAUUAUUGCAGCCACUUUAAAGUACAUUUCUGAAAAUACCUUUAUAGUAAUAUACUGGAUAAUAAACAAUGUAGAGAAACAGGAAAGAUCAAUAAGAGGGAGGAUAAAAUGCAAUAAAGGUCACCACUUAGGAAUGAGCAUGCAGAAACAAGGCCAAACACGCUGAUAAGAUGAA